This 252-nucleotide ribosomal RNA is filed under the name uncultured bacterium. RNAcentral describes it as "partial 16S ribosomal RNA". It matches the Rfam family "Bacterial small subunit ribosomal RNA", at positions 525 to 776 of the family's 1533-position model. The record is from RNAcentral.
ACGUAGGACGCGAACGUUAUCCGGAGUUACUGGGCGUAAAGCGCGUGCAGGCGGUUUUGUAAGUUACCUAUGAAAGCUCUCGGCUAAACUGAGAGAGGAUAGGUGAAACUGCAAGACUAGAGUGAGGUAGAGGUGAGUAGAAUUCCAGGUGUAGUGGUGAAAUGCGUAGAUAUCUGGAGGAAUACCAGUGGCGAAGGCGGCUCACUGGCCCUCAACUGACGCUGAGACGCGAAAGCGUGGGUAGCGAACGGG